GGUAUUUUAAACAAUUAUAACGAACCAGUAUACAAUUAAAAUCUCGCAUAACCAUGAAUACUGCAUUGAUACUCGCUUUGUUUUUGUUUUUCAACGUAUUAAACUUUUCGGCAGCAGUUGAUUGUGAUGCUGUGGGUAUACAAUGCCGUGCGAGUGCAAUGGCAGGAGGUAAAAACUGCAAUUCCGUAGCUAAAGCCAAAAAGUGCUUGCAAGAUGCUAACUGUUUCAGUGGAAAUAACAAAGAACAAUAUGAAAAGUAUUAUAAUGAACUUAAAUGUGGUGGAAGCAUGACAGUUGCUAGUAUAACAUUGCUGUCGCUGACAAGCCUUUUUAUGGCAGUCAAGAGCUACUUUUAAAUGUGGAGAAUAACUGUUAAGCAGAUAUAGCGAUUUACUAUUUGAGAGACAAUAAAUAAACUAUAUGUUCCAACUGAAUAUCUUAAAGGAAGCUGAAACCAAGACUGAAGUUAUUAAUUUAUUUUGAUUUAUUCUAUCGAUCUUGGCAUUUUAAUGCAGGCCCAAAUUGCCUCAAAACACAUCCAUAAUAUCUCUGCCAGUUUAUCUAAUGACAUGU
Long non-coding RNA from Patella vulgata (common limpet), 573 nucleotides. RefSeq lists it as uncharacterized. The transcript has 4 exons. The record is from RefSeq and is a predicted model, not a curated record. NCBI's taxonomy places the organism in Eukaryota, Metazoa, Mollusca, Gastropoda, Patellidae.